This 253-nucleotide ribosomal RNA is filed under the name uncultured bacterium. RNAcentral describes it as "partial 16S ribosomal RNA". It matches the Rfam family "Bacterial small subunit ribosomal RNA", at positions 524 to 776 of the family's 1533-position model. The record is from RNAcentral.
UACGAAGGGGGCUAGCGUUGUUCGGAAUUACUGGGCGUAAAGCGCACGUAGGCGGAUCGAUCAGUCAGGGGUGAAAUCCCAGGGCUCAACCCUGGAACUGCCUUUGAUACUGGCGACCUUGAGUCCGGGAGAGGUGAGUGGAACUGCGAGUGUAGAGGUGAAAUUCGUAGAUAUUGGGAAGAACACCGGUGGCGAAGGCGGCUCUCUGGACCGAUACUGACGCUGAGGCGCGAAAGCGUGGGGAGCAAACAGG